CAAUAGCGUAUAUUUAAGUUGCUGCAGUUAAAAAGCUCGUAGUUGGAUUUCGGGUGGGAAUGGCCGGUCCGCCGUUUCGGUGUGCACUUGCUACGCCCACCUUGCUGCCGGGGACGUGCUCUUGAGUUCACGCUCGGGACACGGAGUCGGCGAGGUUACUUUGAGUAAAUUAGAGUGUUCAAAGCAGGCCUACGCUCUGAAUACAUUAGCAUGGAAUAACACGAUAGGACUCUGGCCUAUCUUGUUGGUCUGUAGGACCGGAGUAAUGAUUAAGAGGGACAGUCGGGGGCAUUCGUAUUUCAUUGUCAGAGGUGAAAUUCUCGGAUUUAUGAAAGACGAACUACUGCGAUAGCAUUUGCCAAGGAUGUUUUCAUUAA
This 377-nucleotide ribosomal RNA is filed under the name uncultured eukaryote. RNAcentral's name for it is "partial 18S ribosomal RNA". It matches the Rfam family "Eukaryotic small subunit ribosomal RNA", at positions 592 to 976 of the family's 1831-position model. The record is from RNAcentral.